This 347-nucleotide long non-coding RNA is filed under the name Ictidomys tridecemlineatus (thirteen-lined ground squirrel). Its description in RNAcentral is "lncRNA (ENSSTOG00000031232.1)". Lineage: Eukaryota; Metazoa; Chordata; Mammalia; Rodentia; Sciuridae. The record is from RNAcentral.
AACAGAGACCUGCUGCUAGUUCUGAAGACAGAGGUGUCUGUUCCAGAAUAGUGAAGCAACUCUGGACCUAGGCCAGCUACUGACCCGCGGGGGACCGGCUCCCAGCUGCAGCAGCCUCCUCCCUCCCACUGUUUGGUUAAGCAUGGAGGAAGUGGAAUUGAAUACCUCACCUAAUAGAACAACUCUGCAUUGUACCCCAACAUUAUACAGAGGAAUAUAGAAGUGUGAGACUGGGUCUUAGAAACGCAAGGUAGGUAACUGGGAAAAAAUCCAGUUUCAUUUAUUUUUCAUACAGAUAACGGUUUUUCUAGCUCCAUUUGCCAAGUGGUCUCUUCCGUCACAGAUGA